UAAAACUUCUUCUUAUCAGCUCCGAAAAUAUCCUGAUUCAACCCGGCCAACGUUUGAUAAUUGGGGUCGUGAGUCGCAGCUUUUGCACCGACUUGAGCAGAAGCACGUGGAGGUCCACCACCACCGCCACCACCUCCACCUUUC
Non-coding RNA from Caenorhabditis elegans, 144 nucleotides. Lineage: Eukaryota; Metazoa; Nematoda; Chromadorea; Rhabditida; Rhabditidae. The record is from Ensembl.